AGUGGCCUUGCUGCCACGAUCCACUGAGA
This 29-nucleotide small nuclear RNA is filed under the name Arabidopsis thaliana (thale cress). RNAcentral's name for it is "snRNA_11068". Lineage: Eukaryota; Viridiplantae; Streptophyta; Magnoliopsida; Brassicales; Brassicaceae. The record is from RNAcentral.